UAUCAUAAACGCUCCAAACAUGUAGAGUGAAAAGCAAUUGGCCGCCUUCACAUCAUCAUCUAAAGCCCACUGCAGUGAGAACUUAACAUUUGUUACGGUCCUGAAAAUAUAAACCAUGGGAAAUUGUUAACCCUGUCAGGGCCGGAUCCAAAGCCUGUUGAGUCAACCGAACACUUCAAAGGUCUUUGGAACAGGCCCUAUUAUAAGACAAAGUAGAACAGUGCCAGCAGGGCAGAUCGAGCAAUCCCCACACCUCGCAGCAGCCCUUCAUCUGAUCCUUCUGGGAGAAAAGAAAUCUAGAGUCUGAUGCUUCAUGCAGCAAUUGCCCUCCAGUGUCUCAGGGCUGCACCAAUAAUGAAUAAUUUACCAGUGUGGAGAAAGAAAAGUGUCACUACUGGAGUCUCAAGGCUCAUCACUCACAAACCUGUCACAUGGUCAAGAGUCAUCAGUGCCAUUAUUUGUGUGAAGAGAAAUUAGCACUAAUCUACUGCUGAGACUCUUGCUCCAGCCACUGUAAAUGGUGCCAGACUCUUAACAGAGCAGAUUGUCUGUGCCACUGCAAAUUGCCUAUCUCAGUAAAGUUAAAAAAAAAAAAGUCUUCUCACUUCACAGAGGACGUCCCACACAUGGUGAGAAUUAGAGGAGAGGCACUGUAAUGCAAAGGACUGUUACCUUUCCCACACUGGAGAAGUGCUAAAGAUUUGCCUCUCUGCUAUUAAUAAAGAACCACUGAAUCUGUAGAAGCAGGACUUUCAAAGGCAUACAUUUUUUUUUUGCAAAAAGGAAACAUGGCUUUCCAUGUCGUAGAACAGGCAUGUGAAUGCUAAGGCUUGAAUUUUAGGAAGGAAAGGAAAUGCCCUGUAUUGAACUAUGAAGCAUAAACAAGGCAUGAAAUAGAACAAAAUGGUGUCUUGAGUAAAUAAUCAGGGCAACAAUGAGAACUAUCGUACUGUGAGGGGCUUCCUCCUAUGAAGGAAAGGAAGAGAUGGGUAACAUGCUCGGUUUGUUCCAGCAGUCAUUUCCAUCCAUCGAUUCAGGGAUUUUAAAACCACUACCAUCAGCAGGUUUUUGGAACACCCACUACAUGAAAUCCACAGUAAAAGCAGAGCUGCCAGUGGCCUGGUUCAUCCCCACAGCAGAAGAACUGACAGCUGGGGCUCGGAGGCAGAAAAUCCCGUAGUCCCUCCUCGAGGCCUCGGUGGAUCCCAUCAAAGGGAGAGGUUUGCUCUCCACCAGGGGCCAGCCCCCACAUCUGGUGGAGUCCAAGCACAGCUUGUGACGGGAAAAAAGAAUAGUUUCCACCUCUAAAGGUUUGAAACGGAUUCAUUUUAUCUCUGCCUUUGUUCAAAAUAAUUUUCCAAUUUUAAUUGCUAGCAAAAUAAGCCUGUCUGAAAAGGGGAGUCACGAGUGAAAAAUGUAGUCCUUUGGAUCAUGGAGAUGCUGGCCUAAAAUCAGAAACAUGCCAUUAUAAAACAAAAUUUGGAAGAAGGAAGUUUUUUAUUUUGAUCAGAAAAGCACCUGAUUUGUUAAAAAGUCCUGCCUUUUCUCACUCCGAGAGGAUCUAUGGGGAGCCGGGUCUCUGGCCUGGCUCUGUGCCCGGCAGCCAGCCUUCAGCACUGCCCUCACACUUCUCCUUGGCAGCACAGCUCUGCCAAAACACACUCUGGGGGCACCCCCCAGCUACAGCAGCCAGUGUAAUCCCCAAAGUGGGAGGCUACAUGAGAAACAUAACGCAGCCUUGGGCUGUAUUAUGGUUUGCACCUAAGAUCCUCCAAGGACACUAUGUAUCCUUUCUGUCACAGAUUCACCUACUCUCAGCUCUUGAAGGCCACGCUGUCUCCACUUGAACCUGCAAGGAGACUUUGUUAGCUCUUAAGAAAAACAAAGAUAGAUGGUGUGGCUUGGAGAGAUGCCCCUGUCACAGCAAGAGGGCUGGUGUGUGGGAGGACUCCUUAGGGCUGGGAUCAGGAGGGAACCCAGAAGUAUCCAGUUCUUAUUGAAAUAUCGGAAUACAAACAUCAAUGCAAAACCUCAAAAAGCUGCUCAGGUAGCAAAAUAAGUCUGGGUUUUAAAGUCCAAAGAUGUUUGGGCUUUUUUUUUUUUUUUCCCCCAGGAUUUUUUUAAUUAGGAAAACAAAAACGACAGAAUUUCACACAUUCCUGUCACAUUUGCAAAUUGAUGAUGUUGUCUAAAAGCUGGAUUCGUGACUGAAUUCCCUGCAAGCCUUUCCAACACUCAUCCUCUCCACUAUUCCUCUUGUCUCAAUUUUGAUUCCGUUGCCUACCAAGAGUGAGAAAGAGUCAUUAUUAAAAAAACUUAGCAGAUGAGCAGUGCAGAAGACAUUUAGAUUCUUCUUCCCUCUCAAGCUCUUUCUACCGCUCAAAGUCAUCUACAGUUUCAGUUUAGUUGUGUGUCCCAAAUCAAUAAACGCCAUCUACACCUCGCUGUACUCGCUGCAUCCCCAGUGCCCAAGGCUGACUCCCUUCCCAAAGGACAAGGUUUCUAUUACUCACCACAUCCAUGCCAAGAGAAAUGACCUACUUUCCAAAAAACUAAGGCAUUGAAAAUGUGUUUUGGGACUGUGGGAGCAAGAAUCAGGGGAGCAGACUGACCCCUGGUUAAGUCCGGUUAAAAAAGGAAAGGGCAAUAGUUGUGAAAGAUCGGUUUGACCAGAGGUAUCUCCUGGUGGUGCUGGAGAUCAGCUCACCGUAUCCUGCUCUGCUCCUGUUCAUCUCUGCACAGCAAACUGCUGUUGCUGUUCCAACUCACUAGAGCAAAGAGUAGAAACCUUGAUUAAAGAGUUUGAAAGGAGUCUUCAGAAAGAAAGUGACUGUGGCUGAAGAUUUGAGAUAGACCGUAUUCAGACUUGGAUUUAAGUGUUAUGUUGCUCAGGAACCCCUGAUGCUUUCUAGCUCCCUGAACACAUCUGUUGCUGGAAACUGAACUGUGUUUACCCUGUUAAAAGUGACUUGUGUCACAAAGCAGCGAGGAGGAGCAGAGUGGCUGUGGAGGCUCCUGGGGGAGAUUUCCACCAUGUACUGCUCCCUGCAGCUUGCAAGACGAAGGAGAGGGCACUCUCAGCCCCAAGCCUGGACUCUCUACAAAGGCAGUCUUGGCAAAUCAUGGCCUCUUGAUUAACCACAGGGGGAUUGGUCUCCACCUUCCAUGGGGAGGGUGAGGAACUAAGCUGUAAAAGUGCCUUACAUCACUCCAUUGGCAAACAAGGGAUUUCUUCAUCUGGCAAGGCAGUAUGUUGAACCCAUGAAACCUGCUGAUUGUAGAAGAUCUGCUAGGCAGAUCUUGGCUUUCUCUGUGAUUUUCCAGUGUCUCCACCCUCAUGAUGGUAUCAUCUAGCUAGGUGAUGGCAUCCAUGACGUUACCUGGCUAGAUGAGAACCUCAUAGAUGACCGAAUAACAGGCAGACACCCACAAAAGGCAUUUUGGUUUUCUGCAGCUGCAUCCAUUCUGCCCAGCAUUUCAAUCUUUUUAGUCAUUCAUUUUGCCUUCAAGAAAUAAGUUUAUUAUGACCUUUGCUCAGACCAACUGGAACCAUGAAAACAUGAAAAUAUAUCAUAUUUGAUGAAGUCAGCUCACACUUCUCUGCAAGCCUUCCCCAGACUGAGUCACAGCAGGAGGGUUCAAAGUGAAUGCUUAAUAGCAUUGGCUUAAAGAUAUACUACUGCCAGUGGGAUAAUUUACCAGUAAUUAAGAAUGGAAUGAAUUUUUCUGAUUUGUUGGUGCUGCUUUGUCUGUCUUACAGUGAAAAUGAAGCAGGAUGCCCUUCCUGUAUCUCGGAGCAGUAACAAGCUUGAGAUGAUUUUCAUUUACAAUCGGAACUGCAUUAUUUGCUUUAGUUGUUUCUUAUCACAGACUUUACACCCUUGCACAGUGUCAGGUAUCAAAUGUUUAGAUUUAGAAUUUAAAAACAUAUAGGAAGAAUCUGGCCAUGUUUAACACUUUCAUGGCAUGCUGCCCUCUGUCAGAGGUGCAUCCCAAAGCCUUGUUCAGCAAUUGUGGAUGCUCCAAAGUGACCAUAAACCAAAUCAGAAUAUUAAUCUGCCUCAUAACAGUAAAACUCAGGUCACUCACUACAUGGAUCAUCUCCUCAAAAAGCUCUUAGGCUGAUAAACAUAAAGUCCAUUAGGAUCUCGAGAACAGAUGUCACACAUGCAUUGAAACUUAUGAAUACAUUACUCUCUUGCACCAAUGCAAGUCAUUAACGGUUGGAUAUCGUAUAUAUUGAUCUAUCAGUGUUUCAAUACACAGUCUGUUUCUUAGAUUGGCUGCUCUCACAAGCAGAAAGCACUUCUGAAGCAGGUGACGUUCAUUUCUACCUCUGCAACACGGACGGCUCAGAACACCUUGCCAUAAAUUCCCUGCACUGCCUUGAUUCUGAGCAGGGCGCUGGUAGUAGACAUCUGCAAAAACAGCUCCUGCUGAAGGUCCACUCUGAAACUGUUGCAGCACUCAUGAGUGGUCAGUAUCUCUCAGUGACUUCAUGAGCUUCUCUGAAAAAAAAUUCUGCUUCACCCCAAAGAACCUCUGAUUGAUGCAGUCUGUAGCAUUUGUCUUUUGUCAACUCAUGCUUGCCUUAUGAUGCUGUAAUAAAUCACAAAUGCUAUGAUACGCUA
Long non-coding RNA from Columba livia (rock pigeon), 4631 nucleotides. RefSeq lists it as uncharacterized. The record is from RefSeq and is a predicted model, not a curated record. Lineage: Eukaryota; Metazoa; Chordata; Aves; Columbiformes; Columbidae. The transcript is spliced from 4 exons.